Molecule: long non-coding RNA, 1721 nt
Organism: Varanus komodoensis (Komodo dragon)
Lineage: Eukaryota; Metazoa; Chordata; Lepidosauria; Squamata; Varanidae
Exons: 5
Source: RefSeq, a predicted model, not a curated record
GGCUUUGUAGGUCAUAAUCAACACCUUGAAUUGGGCCCGGGCUUCUUUAGACUACCAGGAAGCAUCUGUCUAGAAGCAAUCUUAAUUUAUGGAUUAUUUUUCUGAUGUGUUGUCAGUGCUUACCAAAACUAAAGCCAGCUGCACUUUUGAUUUUAUAUGCUGCAGUAGCUUGACUGGACUGCGCUCUCCACCCACAUGUUGCGAUACUUUGUAUUACCUAGAAUUUGGAUUUAAGCCAAAACUUCCCAUUACUUCUCAUGGCAUACUUGAGAAAAGGAAAAGAGCUGCAUACUGCUACUACCAGAUUUCAUUACAAUCCCAAUAUGACAGUGCUUUUAAGGUACUUCCUGGACAUGAAAACUUGUACAGCGCAAGAACACUUGCACUUUUGUAGUAACUACAUGAUCUUCCCACUGUUUCAGAAUCUGAGUACCUCUUCAAGGCAAAAGCAUAGUCUAACCUCUGCCUCAGUGGGCGGUCGGCCAGUCCAGCGAGAGCAACCAAUGACGAGGAACGGUGAGCGGAUUCUUCCCGAGCGCAAGUGCCCCGAUUGAUUCGUCAGCGACAAAUAACAAUUCUGAGUGAAAGAUGUCUCUUUCACAAGAUAUGAUAUUGAUGCAAUACAUACAGUUGGCCAAAGAAGAGCUGGAAGAAAAAUGCUGAGAGACAUUGUGGUCCGAUUCUGGUCAUAUGCAAAAAAGAACAAUUCAUGCAGAAAUUACAUGAUAUGACAUUAAUUAUGUUCAAAGGAUACUAGUUUCAAGUUUUUCCUAAUUUAUGUAAUGAGACUUUGCAAUGGAGGAGAGAUAAGUUCCAAGUCUGCCAAAUAUUGAAAUAAAAUUCCAUUAAAUACAGCUGGGGCUUCCCGUUUUUUGUUUUUUUGAGGUUUUCAUAUAAUGGAAAAUAUUACAGAGUUGAUACAAAGGAGAAAGUGCUGAAGUUGCUAAAGGAACUUGGAAUUAUUGAUGAUGAUGAAUAUGCAGCACAAAUGCAGAAAUUAAUGGAUAUGCCUACAUUCUCAAGGAUGUCAGAGAAGAAAGAAGAUCGGUCGGAGAAGAAGAAGUUGGAUAAAGCAGCAGGAAGUUCAGGCUCUCCACAGGAACAGAGAGAAGAGGAGAGACAGAAGAAGGUAGUAAGAAGAGACAAGAAAAUCUUCAUGUAAUAGAUACAGAAAAUAUAUUGUAGUUGGUAGUGUUGUGGUCGUUAUUGAAUGCUUUUUAAAUAAUAAGUAUUGAAUUAUGAUAGAAAUUUGAGUAUAGAAUAAAAUGAGUAUAGAUGGUUGGGUAGGGUAGAGUGAGUGCCUUGGGUUUGUAUAAGGAUGGCUCCUCUUCCCCCCACCCCAAGAAGCCUAAAGUGGCGGGUAGGAGGAAAUCUCCAGAGGAUGGGUAGGUGGGUUUAUAUAUAUGAAUGUGGGGUGGGGGAGGAUUUUGGUAGAGGCAGAUGUGAGUAAAAUUGUGUUUUUGUUAAGUUUUUGUUGGAGUGUUUAUUUAGUCACAUAUGGAGAAAAGAAUACUUGAUGUAUUGAAAAAAUGGAAGAAAAACAUUGAAGAUGUUGACUUGGAAUUUAAACAGCUUGGGAGAAUAUAUAAAUGAUGGAGUGAAUGAAUUAAAAUGACACUGGGCAGAUGUAUAUGAAGAAUCAUAUGGUACAUCAAAAGCAAGAGGGGUUGCAAUUAUUGUAGCUAAAAGAUGCAAAUUUAAAAUAAAAGCUAUAAAAAGAC